AAACGUUUCAUUGUUACCGACCGUCCCUAGAGCAAGUGGCAAAGGGCUUGGUGGUUGGUACUCAAGACCCAAGUUCGAAUCAUAGUUGAUUCACAUUUCCAGCUAAGUCUAUUUCUAAAUAAAAUAAACGAAACGGGUAGCGUGCUACCUAUUUCUCAAAAAAAAAACGUUUCAUUGUUGGAAACAAUUUAAAAGUAAAUAUAUACCUCCAUUUACUUCUGAAUUUAUUCUAAUUUUGUAUUUGUAUGUGUGUGUGUGUGUGUGUGUGUGUGUGUGUGUGAGAGAGAGAGAGAGAGAGAGAGAGAGAGACCGGUGUCACGGCCUUAGCGGUUCUGUUCGCAAAGCCCGUGCGGCGCCCGCCUUCCUGCUCGAAGAUGGGCAAGCCUUCGUCCCUAUUGCUAGUUCGGACCUUCGCGUCCUACGAUUAAGUAUGCAAAGGAAAAUGACAAAGAGAGGAGGUAGAGGUUCACUCAAAAACUAAGUACUCCACUACUUAGAAAAGAGAUUACAAUACACAUACACACACACUCCCUCUUGUGUGUUUUGACCUUAACCAAAACCCCACUAUUUAUAAGCUCCUAAAUACAAUGAACUUAGACACACACUAACUCUUUCAUUAUGAGACACAUUAACUCACCUUCAUAAUGAACCAUAAGCUCAAAAGUCACCCCAUAACUCAUCCACUAUUGCAUACAUAAUGAGCCCUCAUAAUAGCCAAAAGCUCAAGAGUCACCCAUAACUCCCAUGAGUUUCAUAACCCUUGAGUUUCCCACAGCUGGUUGGGUUUGGGUCUCCUUGACAACCCGAUUCAACCUGUUUUGAACCUGUUUCGCUAGCAGAUUUGGGCCACUGUCAAGGAGAAGUUAGCGGGAAAAAUUUUGCCCUUGACAUUCUCCCCCACCUAACGCGCAGACGCCCUCGUCGCGCGCCGAGUCGCUGCCAGUCCGCAUAGCCUUCUCAUCGCUUGGUUGUCCACGAACUGCGUUGACGAGAUUUAGCGUGCCCAUCCUUGGCAGCUCGACCACGUCCUUGCCCUCCUCGGCUUGGACCGCAGCAACCUAUUUACCUUUGUAGUUGCUCCUGUUUGGGCAGUCCCGCGCCCAAUGAUUCUCGCCGCAAACAUAGCACGAGAUCGUUGCAGGCGGCGGGGCGGGAUUCUGCUAUUGCUUCCUCGCAUCACGGUUUGGCUUGUGCCCUUUUGCGCCCCCUGGAUCGUGGUACUCUCCCCCACCUCUGGCCUCGCUCGCCUUUGGUAGUUCAUCUCGAUCGCCCUCGGUUCGCUCCCGCUCGGGCAACUUCUCCGCCAAAGCAAUCGUGGAGUUCAGGUCCUUCACGUCUCGCGCCACGAGCUCCUUGUUCGCCCAUGGCUGAAGGCCAUCUAGGAAGAAGAAUAGCCGAUCCUCAUCGGCCAUGUUGGUGAUCGCCAAUAUCAGUUUCGAGUACUCUUGGACAUACUCUUUCAAGGUUCUCGAAUGUUUGAGCCGUCGAAGUUGCCUCCUCGCAAAAUAUUCGACGUGCUCGGGGUAGAACUGCGCCUUGAGCUCGCGCACAAAGUCCUCCCAUGUCUUCAGUUGGCAUUGGCCUUUUUCGGCCUCUGCAGAACGUCGACGCCACCACAGCAUCGCGUUGUCAGUAAGGUACAUGGACGCAAUCUGGACUUUCUCCUCCUCCUCGUCCAGCCGCAACGCCUUGAUGUAGCGCUCCAUGUGCCACAGAAAAUUGUCGAUUUCCUUCUCAUCGCGUGUACCCUUGAAAUUUUGAGGCUCAGGAAUACGUACCUUCGAAGCGGACUCUCUUUGGGGUUCAUGGCCACGCGCCACCGCCUUCUCAAGGAUCGUUACUCUCGUUUUGAGGUCCUCGACCUCGUCGACUCGAGCAACGAGCUCCUUGAUCAGUUUCUUUCGCUUCUCGUCACGACGCUUCAUGUUGGCUUGGAGCUUUUCAAGUUCGCUUCGAAAUGUCUCCAUGGCAGUAGCGACGCUUUCCUCCAUGCUGUGGACAUCUUCGUUGAAUGAGUUAAAGGUAUCGGCCAUUUCGGUGUACCUUUCACCUAUUUUUGCGAUGAUGUCCUCCAACAGCACAAGACGGUCCUCCAACGACGCCGAAUCACUCGUGAUUCGUUGAAGGUCUUUGCUCGUGCUUCGCUUGGAGGGUCGGCCCCAACGUCGACAAUUCCCGCAUCGGAUGACGACAUGGUUCCUCACUUGAACCUGGUUUUGAUACCAACUGUCACGGCCUUAGCGGUUCUGUUGGCAAAGCCCGUGCGGCGCCCGCCUUCCUACUCGAAGAUGGACAAGCCUUCGUCCCUAUUGCUAGUCCGGACCUUCGCGUCCUACGACUAAAUAUGCAAAGGAAAAUGACAAAGAGAAAGAGGUAGAGGUUCACUCAAAAACUAAGUACUCCACUACUUAGAAAAGAGAUUACAACACACAUACACACACACUCCCUCUUGUGUGUUUUGACCUUAACCAAAACCCCACUACUUAUAAGCUCCUAAAUACAAUGAACUUAGACACACACUAACUCUUUCAUUAUGAGACACAUUAACUCACCCUCAUAAUGAACCAUAAGCUCAAAAGUCACCCCAUAACUCAUGAACUAUUGCAUACAUAAUGAGCCCUCAUAAUAGCCAAAAGCUCAAGAGUCACCCAUAACUCCCAUGAGUUUCAUAACCCUUGAGUUUUCCAAAGCGGGUUGGGUUUGGGUCUCCUUGACAACCCGAUUCAACCCGUUUUCAACCUGUUUCGUUAGCAGACUU
This 2758-nucleotide long non-coding RNA is filed under the name Ananas comosus (pineapple). RNAcentral's name for it is "long non-coding RNA (ACOM_LNC024877)". Lineage: Eukaryota; Viridiplantae; Streptophyta; Magnoliopsida; Poales; Bromeliaceae. The record is from RNAcentral.